UACGAAGGGGGCUAGCGUUGUUCGGAAUUACUGGGCGUAAAGCGCGCGUAGGCGGGUUUGCAAGCCAGAGGUGAAAUGCCUGAGCUCAACUUAGGAAUUGCCUUUGGGACUGUGAGACUUCGAGGACUGGAGAGGUGAGUGGAAUUCCCAGUGUAGAGGUGAAAUUCGUAGAUAUUGGGAAGAACACCGGUGGCGAAGGCGGCUCACUGGCCAGUUUCUGACGCUGUAGCGCGAAAGCGUGGCGAUUAAACAGG
RNAcentral lists this ribosomal RNA (254 nucleotides) under uncultured bacterium. Its description in RNAcentral is "partial 16S ribosomal RNA". It matches the Rfam family "Bacterial small subunit ribosomal RNA", at positions 524 to 776 of the family's 1533-position model. The record is from RNAcentral.